This 246-nucleotide long non-coding RNA is filed under the name Elaeis guineensis (African oil palm). Its description in RNAcentral is "long non-coding RNA (EGUI_LNC001833)". The record is from RNAcentral. Lineage: Eukaryota; Viridiplantae; Streptophyta; Magnoliopsida; Arecales; Arecaceae.
AAAGGAGCAUGAGAAAAGAAAAGGGGUGAGAAGAAGUCCACUAGAUAGUUGAAUGCUAGUUGAAACUAGAUGCCGAAAGGUCUAGGAACGAUAAAAGGAGAUAGGAAAACUUCUCCGAUAGUAGUAGAAGCGGGGUAUCUGGCAAGAACCAAGCAGAAGUGAAAAAGAAGUAGAGGUGGGGGGGUUGGCAUUUUUAUACUGCUAUCACUGGUCUAAAUAAGCCUGAGAGAUCAAUGCACUCGUCUG